GAGGUCUGGCCUGCCCUGUGACUAUAUGUUUAACGGCCGCGGUAUUUUGACCGUGCGAAGGUAGCGCAAUCAUUUGUCUUUUAAAUGAGGACCGGUAUGAAAGGCACAACGAGGGCUCAACUGUCUCCUCUUUCUAGUCAAUGAAAUUGAUCUCCCCGUGCAAAAGCGGGGAUACCCCCAUAAGACGAGAAGACCCUGUGGAGCUUUAGGCACAAGGCAUAUCAUGUUAAACACCCCUGAACAAAGGGCUGAACUAAAUGAACCCUGCCCUCAUGCCUUAGGUUGGGGCGACCAUGGGGAAACAAGCAACCCCCACGUGGAAUGGGAACACUUCUUUUUUUCUCCCUCCUACAAGCAAGAGCUGCAGCUCUAGCAAACAGAAUUUCUGACCAAACUAAAGAUCCGGCAACGCCGAUCAACGGACCAAGUUACCCCAGGGAUAACAGCGCAAUCCCCUUUUAGAGCCCAUAUCGACAAGGGGGUUUACGACCUCGAUGUUGGAUCAGGACAUCCUAAUGGUGUAACCGCUAUAAAGGGUUCGUUUGUUCAACGAUUAAAGUCCUACGUGAUCUGAGUUC
RNAcentral lists this ribosomal RNA (578 nucleotides) under Lepidocybium flavobrunneum (escolar). RNAcentral describes it as "partial 16S ribosomal RNA". It matches the Rfam family "Bacterial large subunit ribosomal RNA", at positions 1849 to 2612 of the family's 2925-position model. The record is from RNAcentral. Lineage: Eukaryota; Metazoa; Chordata; Actinopteri; Scombriformes; Gempylidae.